RNAcentral lists this ribosomal RNA (2932 nucleotides) under Escherichia coli. RNAcentral describes it as "23S ribosomal RNA". It matches the Rfam family "Bacterial large subunit ribosomal RNA". The record is from RNAcentral. Lineage: Bacteria; Pseudomonadati; Pseudomonadota; Gammaproteobacteria; Enterobacterales; Enterobacteriaceae.
GGGUUGUGAGGUUAAGCGACUAAGCGUACACGGUGGAUGCCCUGGCAGUCAGAGGCGAUGAAGGACGUGCUAAUCUGCGAUAAGCGUCGGUAAGGUGAUAUGAACCGUUAUAACCGGCGAUUUCCGAAUGGGGAAACCCAGUGUGAUUCGUCACACUAUCAUUAACUGAAUCCAUAGGUUAAUGAGGCGAACCGGGGGAACUGAAACAUCUAAGUACCCCGAGGAAAAGAAAUCAACCGAGAUUCCCCCAGUAGCGGCGAGCGAACGGGGAGCAGCCCAGAGCCUGAAUCAGUGUGUGUGUUAGUGGAAGCGUCUGGAAAGGCGUGCGAUACAGGGUGACAGCCCCGUACACAAAAAUGCACAUACUGUGAGCUCGAUGAGUAGGGCGGGACACGUGGUAUCCUGUCUGAAUAUGGGGGGACCAUCCUCCAAGGCUAAAUACUCCUGACUGACCGAUAGUGAACCAGUACCGUGAGGGAAAGGCGAAAAGAACCCCGGCGAGGGGAGUGAAAAAGAACCUGAAACCGUGUACGUACAAGCAGUGGGAGCACAGAGCAAUCUGUGUGACUGCGUACCUUUUGUAUAAUGGGUCAGCGACUUAUAUUCUGUAGCAAGGUUAACCGAAUAGGGGAGCCGAAGGGAAACCGAGUCUUAACUGGGCGUUAAGUUGCAGGGUAUAGACCCGAAACCCGGUGAUCUAGCCAUGGGCAGGUUGAAGGUUGGGUAACACUAACUGGAGGACCGAACCGACUAAUGUUGAAAAAUUAGCGGAUGACUUGUGGCUGGGGGUGAAAGGCCAAUCAAACCGGGAGAUAGCUGGUUCUCCCCGAAAGCUAUUUAGGUAGCGCCUCGUGAAUUCAUCUCCGGGGGUAGAGCACUGUUUCGGCAAGGGGGUCAUCCCGACUUACCAACCCGAUGCAAACUGCGAAUACCGGAGAAUGUUAUCACGGGAGACACACGGCGGGUGCUAACGUCCGUCGUGAAGAGGGAAACAACCCAGACCGCCAGCUAAGGUCCCAAAGUCAUGGUUAAGUGGGAAACGAUGUGGGAAGGCCCAGACAGCCAGGAUGUUGGCUUAGAAGCAGCCAUCAUUUAAAGAAAGCGUAAUAGCUCACUGGUCGAGUCGGCCUGCGCGGAAGAUGUAACGGGGCUAAACCAUGCACCGAAGCUGCGGCAGCGACGCUGAUGCGUUGUUGGGUAGGGGAGCGUUCUGUAAGCCUGUGAAGGUGUACUGUGAGGUAUGCUGGAGGUAUCAGAAGUGCGAAUGCUGACAUAAGUAACGAUAAAGCGGGUGAAAAGCCCGCUCGCCGGAAGACCAAGGGUUCCUGUCCAACGUUAAUCGGGGCAGGGUGAGUCGACCCCUAAGGCGAGGCCGAAAGGCGUAGUCGAUGGGAAACAGGUUAAUAUUCCUGUACUUGGUGUUACUGCGAAGGGGGGACGGAGAAGGCUAUGUUGGCCGGGCGACGGUUGUCCCGGUUUAAGCGUGUAGGCUGGUUUUCCAGGCAAAUCCGGAAAAUCAAGGCUGAGGCGUGAUGACGAGGCACUACGGUGCUGAAGCAACAAAUGCCCUGCUUCCAGGAAAAGCCUCUAAGCAUCAGGUAACAUCAAAUCGUACCCCAAACCGACACAGGUGGUCAGGUAGAGAAUACCAAGGCGCUUGAGAGAACUCGGGUGAAGGAACUAGGCAAAAUGGUGCCGUAACUUCGGGAGAAGGCACGCUGAUAUGUAGGUGAAGUCCCUCGCGGAUGGAGCUGAAAUCAGUCGAAGAUACCAGCUGGCUGCAACUGUUUAUUAAAAACACAGCACUGUGCAAACACGAAAGUGGACGUAUACGGUGUGACGCCUGCCCGGUGCCGGAAGGUUAAUUGAUGGGGUCAGCGCAAGCGAAGCUCUUGAUCGAAGCCCCGGUAAACGGCGGCCGUAACUAUAACGGUCCUAAGGUAGCGAAAUUCCUUGUCGGGUAAGUUCCGACCUGCACGAAUGGCGUAAUGAUGGCCAGGCUGUCUCCACCCGAGACUCAGUGAAAUUGAACUCGCUGUGAAGAUGCAGUGUACCCGCGGCAAGACGGAAAGACCCCGUGAACCUUUACUAUAGCUUGACACUGAACAUUGAGCCUUGAUGUGUAGGAUAGGUGGGAGGCUUUGAAGUGUGGACGCCAGUCUGCAUGGAGCCGACCUUGAAAUACCACCCUUUAAUGUUUGAUGUUCUAACGUUGACCCGUGAUCCGGGUUGCGGACAGUGUCUGGUGGGUAGUUUGACUGGGGCGGUCUCCUCCUAAAGAGUAACGGAGGAGCACGAAGGUUGGCUAAUCCUGGUCGGACAUCAGGAGGUUAGUGCAAUGGCAUAAGCCAGCUUGACUGCGAGCGUGACGGCGCGAGCAGGUGCGAAAGCAGGUCAUAGUGAUCCGGUGGUUCUGAAUGGAAGGGCCAUCGCUCAACGGAUAAAAGGUACUCCGGGGAUAACAGGCUGAUACCGCCCAAGAGUUCAUAUCGACGGCGGUGUUUGGCACCUCGAUGUCGGCUCAUCACAUCCUGGGGCUGAAGUAGGUCCCAAGGGUAUGGCUGUUCGCCAUUUAAAGUGGUACGCGAGCUGGGUUUAGAACGUCGUGAGACAGUUCGGUCCCUAUCUGCCGUGGGCGCUGGAGAACUGAGGGGGGCUGCUCCUAGUACGAGAGGACCGGAGUGGACGCAUCACUGGUGUUCGGGUUGUCAUGCCAAUGGCACUGCCCGGUAGCUAAAUGCGGAAGAGAUAAGUGCUGAAAGCAUCUAAGCACGAAACUUGCCCCGAGAUGAGUUCUCCCUGACUCCUUGAGAGUCCUGAAGGAACGUUGAAGACGACGACGUUGAUAGGCCGGGUGUGUAAGCGCAGCGAUGCGUUGAGCUAACCGGUACUAAUGAACCGUGAGGCUUAACCUUACAACGCCGAAGCUGUU